GUGCCAGCAGCCGCGGUAAUACGAAGGGUGCAAACGUUGCUCGGAAUCAUUGGGCGUAAAGCGCACGUAGGCGGCUUUGCAAGUCGGAUGUGAAAUCCCGUGGCUCAACCAUGGACGUGCAUUCGAAACUGCAAAGCUUGAGUAUGGAAGAGGGUCGCGGAAUUCCCGGUGUAGAGGUGAAAUUCGUAGAUAUCGGGAGGAACACCAGUGGCGAAGGCGGCGACCUGGGCCAAUACUGACGCUGAGGUGCGAAAGCGUGGGGAGCAAACAGGAUUAGAUACCCCUGUAGUCC
RNAcentral lists this ribosomal RNA (292 nucleotides) under uncultured bacterium. RNAcentral's name for it is "partial 16S ribosomal RNA". It matches the Rfam family "Bacterial small subunit ribosomal RNA", at positions 505 to 796 of the family's 1533-position model. The record is from RNAcentral.